AAUGUUCCUUCACUUGUUUUAAGGGCUACAGAAAGGUUCUGGGAGUAGAAAAUCAAAAGUUAAUGAAGCAAAUAUGAGAUGAAAUUUAAGACAUAUUUGAUAGUACUGGAGGAUAGACUCUGAAAAGAGAAUUAGAAGUAGAAGAGAAGGUAUAACUAAUUGUAUAGGAGAGAUCUAUUGGAGGCAAGGUAAAUUAAUGAAGCAAAUAUGAGAUGAAAUUGAAGACAUAUUUGAUAGGACUGGAGGAUAGACUCUGAAAAGAGAAUUAGAAGUAGAAGAGAAGGUAUAACUAAUUGUAUAGGAGAGAUCUAUUGGAAGCAAGGUAAAUUAGUUGAAUUGAAAAUAAAAU
This 349-nucleotide long non-coding RNA is filed under the name Bos taurus (domestic cattle). RNAcentral's name for it is "long non-coding RNA NONBTAT006756". Lineage: Eukaryota; Metazoa; Chordata; Mammalia; Artiodactyla; Bovidae. The record is from RNAcentral.